UCUUCCAAUAACCCGGACUUCUUACUGCAAAACUGAAUAGAGAAUGGUCCUCUUUUUGAAUAGAGCUGACAAAUAGCUUUGAAAACACUCUUAUUGGUAAUAUAUCUAGUUAUAUAUAUAAGGGUAGGCAUUUGUUAUUUGUACUUUAAAUCUUUAACUCUACCUUCCCUCAUAUUUACUGUAGUAGUAUCCUCAGAAAUAUGAUAGACAACUCUAUGCGAGAGGUGUUUCUCCAUUGCUUUGCAUACUGGAUGGUUUUCUGCAAAAUUGAAUAGAGAAAGAUCCUCCCUUUGGAUAGAGCUGAAAGAUGAAUUAGAUAUAGAUGAUAACUUCUCUGAGGUGAAGUUGGAAAAGUUAACAGACUCAACUGGAGUUCUGUGAUUGAAC
Molecule: long non-coding RNA, 387 nt
Filed under: Phoenix dactylifera (date palm)
Lineage: Eukaryota; Viridiplantae; Streptophyta; Magnoliopsida; Arecales; Arecaceae
Description: long non-coding RNA (PDAC_LNC022891)
Source: RNAcentral